GACGAACGCUGGCGGCGUGCCUAAUACAUGCAAGUCGAGCGGAAAGGCCCUGUUCUUGUGCGAUCCGCGAGUGGCGAAAGGGGGAGUAUCACGCGAGUAACCUGCCCUUGAGUUUGGGAUAACAUCAGGAGACUGGGGCGAAUACAGGGCAUGAACUCCUUAUACACGGGGUUGGUGGUAAAAAGUCGGCGGUUCGGGAUGGACGCGCGGCUUAGCAGCUUGUUGGCGAGGUAGUGGCGUACCAGGGCUUUGACGGGAAGCCGGCCUGAGAGGGUGACCGGCCACAUUGGGACUGAGAUACGGCCCAGACUCCUACGGGGGGCAGCAGUGGGAAAUAUUGCACGAUGGGCGGAAGCCUGAUGCAGCAACGCCGGGUGCGGGAUGACGGCCUUCGGGUUGUAAACCGCUUUCGACUGUGACGAAGAGUGAGUGACGGUAAUGGGUAAAGAAGCAACGGCUAACUACGUG
Molecule: ribosomal RNA, 468 nt
Filed under: uncultured bacterium
Lineage: Bacteria
Description: partial 16S ribosomal RNA
Rfam family: Bacterial small subunit ribosomal RNA
Source: RNAcentral